RNAcentral lists this small nuclear RNA (23 nucleotides) under Arabidopsis thaliana (thale cress). RNAcentral's name for it is "snRNA_05514". The record is from RNAcentral. Lineage: Eukaryota; Viridiplantae; Streptophyta; Magnoliopsida; Brassicales; Brassicaceae.
ACUAGCCCCGAAAAUGGAUGGCG